GUACUGGAGCUGGGAGGUUUCUGAUGAAGAACAGCCAAUGGUGUAUGUUUCAGGAGUGUCUACAAAAGGAAAUUUAAGAACAAGGUAUUUGUCAAAGAGUCAAAAAAGUGAAACUGAGCUAAAGGUGCCUGUAGCUGUUGCUUUUGUUUCUAUGGAUCCUGUUAGAAGCACAGGAGAUCUGACAGGG
Molecule: long non-coding RNA, 187 nt
Organism: Cygnus olor (mute swan)
Lineage: Eukaryota; Metazoa; Chordata; Aves; Anseriformes; Anatidae
Exons: 3
Source: RefSeq, a predicted model, not a curated record